GACGAACGCUGGCGGCGUGCUUAACACAUGCAAGUCGAACGGAAAGGCCCUGCUUGCAGGGUACUCGAGUGGCGAACGGGUGAGUAACACGUGGGUGAUCUGCCCUGCACUUCGGGAUAAGCCUGGGAAACUGGGUCUAAUACCGGAUAGGAGCCAUUUUUAGUGUGAUGGUUGGAAAGUUUUUUCGGUGUAGGAUGAGCUCGCGGCCUAUCAGCUUGUUGGUGGGGUAAUGGCCUACCAAGGCGGCGACGGGUAGCCGGCCUGAGAGGGUGGACGGCCACAUUGGGGCUGAGAUACGGCCCAGACUCCUACGGGAGGCAGCAGUGGGGAAUAUUGGACAAUGGGCGCAAGCCUGAUGCAGCGACGCCGCGUGGGGGAUGACGGCCUUCGGGUUGUAAACUCCUUUCGCUAGGGACGAAGCUUUUUGUGACGGUACCUAGAUAAGAAGCACCGGCUAACUACGUG
This 465-nucleotide ribosomal RNA is filed under the name uncultured bacterium. Its description in RNAcentral is "partial 16S ribosomal RNA". It matches the Rfam family "Bacterial small subunit ribosomal RNA", at positions 28 to 507 of the family's 1533-position model. The record is from RNAcentral.